This 497-nucleotide ribosomal RNA is filed under the name uncultured bacterium. Its description in RNAcentral is "partial 16S ribosomal RNA". It matches the Rfam family "Bacterial small subunit ribosomal RNA", at positions 28 to 507 of the family's 1533-position model. The record is from RNAcentral.
GAUGAACGCUGGCGGCGUGCCUAAUACAUGCGAGUCGAGCGAACAGACGAGGAGCUUGCUCCUCUGAUGUUAGCGGCGGACGGGUGAGUAACACGUGGAUAACCUACCUAUAAGACUGGGAUAACUUCGGGAAACCGGAGCUAAUACCGGAUAAUAUAUUGAACCGCAUGGUUCAAAAGUGAAAGACGGUUUUGCUGUCACUUAUAGAUGGAUCCGCGCUGCAUUAGCUAGUUGGUAAGGUAACGGCUUACCAAGGCAACGAUGCAUAGCCGACCUGAGAGGGUGAUCGGCCACACUGGAACUGAGACACGGUCCAGACUCCUACGGGAGGCAGCAGUAGGGAAUCUUCCGCAAUGGGCGAAAGCCUGACGGAGCAACGCCGCGUGAGUGAUGAAGGUCUUCGGAUCGUAAAACUCUGUUAUUAGGGAAGAACAUAUGUGUAAGUAACUGUGCACGUCUUGACGGUACCUAAUCAGAAAGCCACGGCUAACUACGUG